GACGAACGCUGGCGGCGCGCUUAACACAUGCAAGUCGAGCGAGAACCGGGACUUCGGUCCCGGGGACAGCGGCGAACGGGUGAGUAACACGUGGGUAAUCUGCCCUCGAUUCUGGGAUAGCCCGGGGAAACCCGGACUAAUACCGGAUAGCCUUUCGAGCCUUCGGGCGCGAAAGAAAAGGUAGCUUCGGCCUCCGAUCGAGGAUGAGCCCGCGGUGGAUUAGCUUGUUGGCGGGGUAAUGGCCCACCAAGGCGACGAUCCAUAGCUGGUCUGAGAGGACGAUCAGCCACACUGGGACUGAGACACGGCCCAGACUCCUACGGGAGGCAGCAGUGGGGAAUCUUGCGCAAUGGGCGAAAGCCUGACGCAGCGACGCCGCGUGUGUGAAGAAGGCCUGGUGUAAG
This 404-nucleotide ribosomal RNA is filed under the name uncultured bacterium. Its description in RNAcentral is "bacterial SSU rRNA". It matches the Rfam family "Bacterial small subunit ribosomal RNA", at positions 28 to 429 of the family's 1533-position model. The record is from RNAcentral.